RNAcentral lists this unclassified non-coding RNA (195 nucleotides) under rhizosphere metagenome. RNAcentral describes it as "partial ribosomal RNA internal transcribed spacer region". The record is from RNAcentral.
GUAUACCUGGUUGGGCGUAAGCCUGACCAAACCAUGUGUGAAACUAUGUACGUCUUCCUGGGAAGUGUCUUGGCACGCUGGGCUUGCCUAGCAGCUGGGAUACUUACUGGGGUACCUCGCAAGAGGUUAACAUGUUAAUAGCAGGGAACUCAAAAAGUAACAAUUACAACUUUUAACGAUGGAUCUCUUGGCUCU